Molecule: ribosomal RNA, 492 nt
Filed under: uncultured bacterium
Lineage: Bacteria
Description: partial 16S ribosomal RNA
Rfam family: Bacterial small subunit ribosomal RNA
Source: RNAcentral
AGUGAACGCUGGCGGUAGGCCUAACACAUGCAAGUCGAACGGCAGCACAGUAAGAGCUUGCUCUUACGGGUGGCGAGUGGCGGACGGGUGAGGCAUACAUCGGAAUCUACUUUUUCGUGGGGGAUAACGUAGGGAAACUUACGCUAAUACCGCAUACGACCUACGGGUGAAAGCAGGGGAUCUUCGGACCUUGCGCGAUUGAAUGAGCCGAUGUCGGAUUAGCUAGUUGGCGAGGUAAAGGCACACCAAGGCGACGAUCCGUAGCUGGUCUGAGAGGAUGAUCAGCCACACUGGAACUGAGACACGGUCCAGACUCCUACGGGAGGCAGCAGUGGGGAAUAUUGGACAAUGGGCGCAAGCCUGAUCCAGCCAUACCGCGUGGGUGAAGAAGGCCUUCGGGUUGUAAAGCCCUUUUGUUGGGAAAGAAAAGCAGCAGGUUAAUACCCCGCUGUUCUGACGGUACCCAAAGAAUAAGCACCGGCUAACUUCGUG